GGUAGUUCAGUUGGUUAGAAUGCCUGCCUGUCACGCAGGAGGUCGCGGGUUCGAGUCCCGUCC
RNAcentral lists this transfer RNA (63 nucleotides) under Bacillus atrophaeus. RNAcentral describes it as "tRNA-Asp". It matches the Rfam family "tRNA", at positions 6 to 65 of the family's 71-position model. Rfam says of the family: Transfer RNA (tRNA) molecules are approximately 80 nucleotides in length. The record is from RNAcentral. Lineage: Bacteria; Bacillati; Bacillota; Bacilli; Caryophanales; Bacillaceae. RNAcentral also lists the same sequence under 1 other name.